This 497-nucleotide ribosomal RNA is filed under the name uncultured bacterium. RNAcentral describes it as "partial 16S ribosomal RNA". It matches the Rfam family "Bacterial small subunit ribosomal RNA", at positions 28 to 507 of the family's 1533-position model. The record is from RNAcentral.
GAUGAACGCUGGCGGCGUGCCUAAUACAUGCAAGUCGAGCGAACAGACGAGGAGCUUGCUCCUCUGACGUUAGCGGCGGACGGGUGAGUAACACGUGGAUAACCUACCUAUAAGACUGGGAUAACUUCGGGAAACCGGAGCUAAUACCGGAUAAUAUAUUGAACCGCAUGGUUCAAUAGUGAAAGACGGUUUUGCUGUCACUUAUAGAUGGAUCCGCGCCGCAUUAGCUAGUUGGUAAGUUAACGGCUUACCAAGGCAACGAUGCGUAGCCGACCUGAGAGGGUGAUCGGCCACACUGGAAGUGAGACGCGGCCCAGAGUCCUACGGGAGGCAGCAGUAGGGAACCUUCCGCAAUGGGCGAAAGCCUGACGGAGCAACGCCGAGUGAGUUAUGAAGGUCUUCGGAUCGUAAAACUCUGUUAUUAGGGAAGAACAAAUGUGUAAGUAACUAUGCACGUCUUGACGGUACCUAAUCAGAAAGCCACGGCUAACUACGUG